RNAcentral lists this ribosomal RNA (860 nucleotides) under uncultured Acidobacteriota bacterium. RNAcentral's name for it is "bacterial SSU rRNA". It matches the Rfam family "Bacterial small subunit ribosomal RNA", at positions 56 to 896 of the family's 1533-position model. The record is from RNAcentral. Lineage: Bacteria; Pseudomonadati; Acidobacteriota.
UGCAAGUCGAACGCGAAAGCCCCGCAAGGGGUCAGUAGAGUGGCGAACGGGUGAGUAACACGUGGGUGACCUACCUUCGAAUGGGGGAUAACGUCCCGAAAGGGACGCUAAUACCGCAUAACAUCCUGCCUUUGAACAGGUGGAGAUCAAAGCCGGGGAUCGCAAGACCUGGCGUUUGAAGAGGGGCCCGCGUCUGAUUAGCUAGUUGGUGAGGUAACGGCCCACCAAGGCGACGAUCAGUAUCCGGCCUGAGAGGGCGGACGGACACACUGGGACUGAGACACGGCCCAGACUCCUACGGGAGGCAGCAGUGGGGAAUUGUUCGCAAUGGGCGCAAGCCUGACGACGCAACGCCGCGUGGAGGAUGAAGGUCUUCGGAUUGUAAACUCCUGUUGCCCGGGACGAAAAGCUUCGACCUAACACGUCGAAGUCUGACGGUACCGGGUGAGGAAGCCCCGGCUAACUCUGUGCCAGCAGCCGCGGUAAUACAGAGGGGGCAAGCGUUGUUCGGAAUUACUGGGCGUAAAGGGCGCGUAGGCGGCCUGCUAAGUCGAACGUGAAAUCCCCGGGCUCAACCCGGGAACUGCGUCCGAUACUGGCAGGCUUGAAUCCGGGAGAGGGAUGCGGAAUUCCAGGUGUAGCGGUGAAAUGCGUAGAUAUCUGGAGGAACACCGGUGGCGAAGGCGGCAUCCUGGACCGGCAUUGACGCUGAGGCGCGAAAGCCAGGGGAGCAAACGGGAUUAGAUACCCCGGUAGUCCUGGCCCUAAACGAUGAAUGCUUGGUGUGGCGGGUAUCGAUCCCUGCCGUGCCGAAGCUAACGCAUUAAGCAUUCCGCCUGGGGAGUACGGUCGCAAGGCUG